RNAcentral lists this unclassified non-coding RNA (180 nucleotides) under Oryza sativa (Asian cultivated rice). Its description in RNAcentral is "partial microRNA MIR455b-15 precursor". The record is from RNAcentral. Lineage: Eukaryota; Viridiplantae; Streptophyta; Magnoliopsida; Poales; Poaceae.
GAUUGCGAGCGAUCCACGCGGGCACUUCAUAGUUCAUACUUCAUCCGUUUCACAAUGUAAGUCAUUCUAGCAUUUUCUAGAUUCAGAUGUUAAUGAAUCUAAAUUCAUUAACAUCAAUAUGAAUGUGGGAAAUGCUAGAAUGACUUAUAUUGUGAAACGGAGAGAGUACUGAAUUACUGA